RNAcentral lists this long non-coding RNA (329 nucleotides) under Vigna radiata. RNAcentral describes it as "long non-coding RNA (VRAD_LNC006499)". The record is from RNAcentral. Lineage: Eukaryota; Viridiplantae; Streptophyta; Magnoliopsida; Fabales; Fabaceae.
AAUGAAUGAGAAGGUUGCUUCGAUCAAGGAAUUCUAAUGCAUAUAUUAAAAAAAAAAAAGUCUCGGUUCAUGUGUAAAAAAAAAAAAACAAAAAAAUAUAAGAAACCUUUGUUAGGGAAACCGUGUGACGUGACCUUGCUGAAUAAAGUUUCAAACCAAAAUGCCAAUUUUUAAUUGCAAACCGAGAAUGGAGGAAACAAAUAAAAAGAUGAAUGCACCAAUGUAUAUAUCAAUUUCCGUACACACUCUUUCUAAUCACUCCUAUCUAAUCUACUUCAUUCUUCAUUUUUCAAAUAAAAAGAAAAAAAUGCAUUGCUAUAAACUAAUGG